RNAcentral lists this ribosomal RNA (481 nucleotides) under uncultured bacterium. RNAcentral describes it as "bacterial SSU rRNA". It matches the Rfam family "Bacterial small subunit ribosomal RNA", at positions 27 to 507 of the family's 1533-position model. The record is from RNAcentral.
GGAUGAACGCUGGCGGCGUGCUUAACACAUGCAAGUCGAACGAAGAAGAGUUGAAUGAGAGCUUCGGCAGGAUUUCUUCUCAUCUUAGUGGCGGACGGGUGAGUAACGCGUGGGUAACCUGCCUUGUACAGGGGGAUAACACUUAGAAAUAGGUGCUAAUACCGCAUAUGCGCACAGUAUCGCAUGAUACAGUGUGGAAAACUCUGGUGGUACAAGAUGGACCCGCGUCUGAUUAGCUAGUUGGUGAGGUAACGGCCUACCAAGGCGACGAUCAGUAGCCGGCCUGAGAGGGUGACCGGCCACAUUGGGACUGAGACACGGCCCAAACUCCUACGGGAGGCAGCAGUGGGGAAUAUUGCACAAUGGGGGAAACCCUGAUGCAGCAACGCCGCGUGAGUGAAGAAGUAUUUCGGUAUGUAAAGCUCUAUCAGCAGGGAAGAAAAUGACGGUACCUGACUAAGAAGCCCCGGCUAACUACGUG